This 75-nucleotide transfer RNA is filed under the name Clostridiaceae bacterium. Its description in RNAcentral is "tRNA-Asn". It matches the Rfam family "tRNA". From Rfam's summary of the family: Transfer RNA (tRNA) molecules are approximately 80 nucleotides in length. Their secondary structure includes four short double-helical elements and three loops (D, anti-codon, and T loops). Lineage: Bacteria; Bacillati; Bacillota; Clostridia; Eubacteriales; Clostridiaceae. The record is from RNAcentral.
UCCGCAGUAGCUCAACGGUGGAGCAUUCGGCUGUUAACCGAAGGGUUGGAGGUUCGAAUCCUCUCUGCGGAGCCA